GACGUAGGAGGCGAGCGUUAUCCGGAUUCAUUGGGCGUAAAGCGCGUGCAGGCGGUGUCUUAAGUCGGAUGUGAAAUCUCCCGGCCUAACUGGGAGGGGUCGUUCGAUACUGGGACACUUGAGGGCGGGAGAGGGAAGUGGAAUUCCCGGUGUAGCGGUGGAAUGCGCAGAUAUCGGGAGGAACACCAGUGGCGAAGGCGACUUCCUGGACCGUUCCUGACGCUGAGACGCGAAAGCUAGGGUAGCAAACGGGAUUAGAUACCCCUGUA
Molecule: ribosomal RNA, 269 nt
Filed under: uncultured prokaryote
Description: partial 16S ribosomal RNA
Rfam family: Bacterial small subunit ribosomal RNA
Source: RNAcentral